Molecule: ribosomal RNA, 897 nt
Filed under: Triticum aestivum (bread wheat)
Lineage: Eukaryota; Viridiplantae; Streptophyta; Magnoliopsida; Poales; Poaceae
Description: partial small subunit ribosomal RNA
Source: RNAcentral
AUGAGCAGCCUAGCUGAGCAAUUCAAUCGGAUCCGGGACGCUGUGCGUGAGUUGAUGGAGUUGGUCGGCACAGAUUCUGAAAUCAUCAAGUCUCCCGUGCAAGAGCCAAUGACUGAGGAGAUUGCGGUUGACCACGACAACGUCAUUGCCGGUCUUGCACCUGCGGUGAGUAUCCCCGACGCCAGCCUCGACGUUGGCGUUGACGAGGCCGUGCCUCAUGUCAUCUCACCACCAACCAUCAUCAUCGAGGAGGCCGCUGAGGUCGUCCUUUCUGCUACCAGCAGCUCAUGCUCCUUGUUGCAUGCCAUGUGGUCGACAGAAUACCCAAGCCAGAAGGGUGCCACAUUGGCUUCUGUGUUCACCCCAGCCGCAACACCUACGUCGCUCACGGCCACGGUCGUCGUCGUCCCCUUGCUUGCUGCACCUGCGGCAAGCGGCGGAACCCUCGACAGUAGCCACAGCGGAAGUGGCCUAGGAAUGCUGCCCCUGACUCCAUGGAGUGUGUCUGCAUCCUUCACUGAGUCUCCGGGGCUCUGGCCAGCCCAGCUGUGCUGGUUGUCUGUUCUCCUCGUGCUGGACACCAAGUCGUCCUCAAGGUGUUCGACAACGUGCCUCAUCAACCACACCGAGUUGUUCAUGUACAUGUCUAUCGUAUAUGUGAUCUCGAGUAUCAUGCGACCGAGACAAGGGCUACGACCAAGGCCAUGGCCUUCCUUCAUCGGUGACCAAGCUGCACAUGGUGAGAGCGCUGCCACUAAUGAAGCAGAGUACAAAUGGAAGCCACUCUUUGGCUCUCGAAUAAAUUCAAAGACUAAUGUCUUUGUGCCACUCAGGCAAACUGGAGGAAACAAUGACAGACGGUUUUCGAGUCCUGGGAACACGACGCUCUUCAAGUAG